CCUACGGGUGGCAGCAGUGGGGAAUAUUGGACAAUGGGGGGAACCCUGAUCCAGCCAUGCCGCGUGUGUGAAGAAGGCCCUCGGGUUGUAAAGCACUUUCAGUGAGGAAGAACGCCUGGUGGUUAAUACCCAUCAGGAAAGACAUCACUCACAGAAGAAGCACCGGCUAACUCCGUGCCAGCAGCCGCGGUAAUACGGAGGGUGCGAGCGUUAAUCGGCAUUACUGGGCGUAAAGCGCGCGUAGGUGGCUUGAUAAGCCGGUUGUGAAAGCCCCGGGCUCAACCUGGGAACGGCAUCCGGAACUGUCAAGCUAGAGUGCAGGAGAGGAAGGUAGAAUUCCCGGUGUAGCGGUGAAAUGCGUAGAGAUCGGGAGGAAUACCAGUGGCGAAGGCGGCCUUCUGGCCUGCCACUGACACUGAGGUGCGAAAGCGUGGGUAGCAAACAGGAUUAGAUACCCUAGUAGUC
This 465-nucleotide ribosomal RNA is filed under the name Vreelandella stevensii. Its description in RNAcentral is "partial 16S ribosomal RNA". It matches the Rfam family "Bacterial small subunit ribosomal RNA", at positions 338 to 795 of the family's 1533-position model. The record is from RNAcentral. Lineage: Bacteria; Pseudomonadati; Pseudomonadota; Gammaproteobacteria; Oceanospirillales; Halomonadaceae.